RNAcentral lists this long non-coding RNA (1257 nucleotides) under Chinchilla lanigera (long-tailed chinchilla). RNAcentral's name for it is "lncRNA (ENSCLAG00000028703.1)". Lineage: Eukaryota; Metazoa; Chordata; Mammalia; Rodentia; Chinchillidae. The record is from RNAcentral.
GAUCACUCCACAUAAAAGUCCUUCUGAAAGCCAAGUGAGGUAUACUAAGGCUGCAGCUCUAGCCACUGGGCAGGAUGAAGCAAGAGGAUCACUUGGGGCCAGGGGUUCACGGCCAGGCUGUGCACCAGUUAGGAAAGAGGGGAGCCCUCACACCCCUGCCUUAGGUGGAAGUGUCAGUUACCCUGGUUUGAUCACCACCUGUUGGAUCCAUGUAUCAAAUUAUCACCUCAUGUGCUGUAAAGUGAGAUUACCGUGAGUGAAGGGAAAAUAAGAAUAAAUGCCGGUAUUUAUUGUCACAGGUUACACAGUGCCGUUUAUGAAACACUUUGCAUGCUCAUUUGACUCCGUUUCCGAGCUUUCCACUCCAUGAGUCUAUUCUCCUUCCAGUUUUAACUCUUGAAUCUUUAGAGGAUUGAAAAUUCUUGAAACUUGUCCUUCCUCAUUUUUCUUUCUUUUCAGGAUUCUCCUGACUUUCUUUUUUUUCUCUUUCAUAUCAACUUUAGAGUUACUUGUCUCAUUACAGGAAAACUCCACUUAAAAAACUGAGAGGGCGAUCUCCAGAUUCCCUAAAUGAACUUACACUUGGCGUCUCCUAAUGGUGAGCAUUGGAAGUUCUGCCUCCACGCAGCUGACCACGCUAUGAGCCCCCUCAGGCAAGCAAGCAUUCCAUGCAGAUGUGGAUAUAAAAUCAUAACAAAAACUCUUCCUGUGGUUCGGAGAAAUGUUCCCCAAAGGCACCGUCCUCAGCUUGUGACACUGUUGGGAGGGAGUGGAAGCCUCAGAAGGUGGAACCUGGUGGGAAGAAGUUGGGACACCUGCCAGGCCCACCCUGGAAGGGGCUAAGGAGGCCCCGUGCAUUGCUGUCAGUUCACUUCCCAGCCGUCACGAGCACAAGCUUCUUCUGCCACUUUUUCACACCACUAUGUCUAAGUGACCAGGGACAGAACCCUCUGAAACCAUUAGCCAAAACAAACCUUCCCUCCUUAUAAGUUAAUGAUCUCAGGUAUUUUGUCACAGAGUCAGAAAGCUAACACAGUUAUGUAAUAGAAUCCAAUAAUUAAAAGAAAGACUAUUUCAAGCAAGAGCAGGUGUGUGUCCUUAGCAGCAAAGCCAAACUUGCAAUUAAAGAAUCUCUUCAUGGUUUAGUUCCAAAUCCUAAAUGUUGCUUUGGAGACAUGUCCACACGUUGCUAGAAAAAGUUGGUUUUAUUAUUCAAAGAAUUGUGGUUUUGGGAAAGAGUAGACGCAUGAAGCUGAC